RNAcentral lists this ribosomal RNA (419 nucleotides) under bacterium. RNAcentral describes it as "partial 16S ribosomal RNA". It matches the Rfam family "Bacterial small subunit ribosomal RNA", at positions 355 to 776 of the family's 1533-position model. The record is from RNAcentral.
UGGGGGAUAUUGCACAAUGGGCGAAAGCCUGAUGCAGCGACGCCGCGUGGGGGAUGAAGGCCUUCGGGUUGUAAACUUCUUUUGCUCUGAACAAGGCAUGCUAAUGGGUGUGUUGAGUGUAGGGGUUGAUUAGCGCCGGCUAACUACGUGCCAGCAGCCGCGGUAAUACGUAGGGCGCGAGCGUUGUCCGGAAUUAUUGGGCGUAAAGGGCUUGUAGGUGGCUGGUUGCGUCUGUCGUGAAAGCUCAUGGCUUAACUGUGGGUUUGCGGUGGGUACGGGCUGGCUUGAGUGCAGUAGGGGAGGCUGGAAUUCCUGGUGUAGCGGUCGAAUGCGCAGAUAUCAGGAGGAAUACCGGUGGCGAAGGCGGGUCUCUGGGCUGUUACUGACACUGAGGAGCGAAAGCAUGGGGAGCGAACAGG